AUCAUCCUUAUCUUGGGGUUGCGUUAUUGCUCAAUGAACGUUUAGUGAGAGCAGUACUGCUAACACCUUAACAACACAUAAGCAUCCCUGGGGUAAAUACCCCAUUGAGGUGCAAUUUUUGGAACC
RNAcentral lists this non-coding RNA (126 nucleotides) under Salvator merianae (Argentine black and white tegu). RNAcentral's name for it is "U4atac minor spliceosomal RNA (ENSSMRG00000011928.1)". It matches the Rfam family "U4atac minor spliceosomal RNA". Rfam says of the family: U4atac is an essential component of the minor U12-type spliceosome complex which is required for removal of the rarer class of eukaryotic introns (AT-AC, U12-type). These interacting stem loops have been shown to be required for in vivo splicing. U4atac also contains an 3' Sm protein binding site which has been shown to be essential for splicing activity. Lineage: Eukaryota; Metazoa; Chordata; Lepidosauria; Squamata; Teiidae. The record is from Rfam by way of RNAcentral.